CCCACUGAGCCACCCAGGUGCCCCUCAUCUUCUCUUUAAAAAGGUUCCUUUCUUCCUAGGAAACAAAAGUGUUCUGCCUCCAGAAUUACCUUCGAGGGGUUUUGCUUGCUCUAGAAGUUGACGCUCCCUGCUCAAGCAUGCUCCGUGUGGCCUGAUGGACACGGCGCACUUACUGGUUGGCCAAUACAGCCGCUGAGCAUCUGCUGGGUGUUCUGGCGGGAACGCUGGAGAAUGGGUCUGCAGAUCAGCACAGACAGGGUGAAACGCACAUCAGGUCAACAUUGCUUUCCCCUCCCUAGCAGCUUUCCGACACUGUUCAGUGGUGACUGUGGAAUUCUGAGCUCCUGUCCUUCUGUCCAGCCAGCUGCUCUCUGCAGAAUGUGUCCUGCUUCUUUAUCACUCCAUCUUUCUCUCCCAGCUGCUUAGCCAGGUGCUUUGCCUUGGCUCAUGCCUCUUCCCGUGAUACCCUCUCUCUCAAGGAGUAGCUCUGGUUAACUCCUCCCUCCUUUAGUCGUUCUGAAUUUCAGAGUCUUUCUUGGCUUGCUCCAAUGAGACCCUCAGCUACUCUGGUCUUCACUUCACCAGAAACCGAGGCACCAGGAGGACCAGAAUACUGCAGAGACUUCGAACCAGAUGGGGAGCAUCAUGCAAUCAAUCACAUUUUCCAAAAACUGGCUGCCCUCACCAUGGUGAUGUUCUCAUUCCCCUUGGCCUCCAAGGUGACCCAGCGCAUGCUGGUGGUCCCACCCGUGGCUCCUGCUUCUCCCUCGUGGAGACCUGGCUUGCACCUGUGAGCACUUCAGGCCCCAUGGAGCCGCACACAGUCUUCCCUUGCACAGUGGGAGCAAGGCCAGACUCCCCAUGAACCAUCAGUGCCCCUGUAUACUGAUUGCCAUACGCGGACUGGGUGGGGAACACCCAGAAGGCGAGCUAGAGAUAAGGGUGUGCACAUGUCUUCCUGGUUUAUUUUGAAAGUGAGGGAUUCUACAGACUGGGAGAGUGCAGCGGGAAAGGAGGAGAGCCAGUACAAGUGUCAUUCUCAUGUUGAUCACUGUGUCUCUGUAUUACUCAGUUCUCCAGAGAAGUAAGCAGAAGAGAUUGAUUUUAAGUAAUUGGCUCAUGAUUAUGGAAGCGAGGAAGUCCAAAAUCUACAGUGUGGGCUGGCAGACUCAAGACUUGAGAGCGAAGUCCAAAGGCAGUUUGCUGGAGAAUUCCUUCUUGCUCUAAGAGAAAAUCAACUGAGAAGGAAUGUUUGUGCAUUACCUUAAAGAAACAUAAUAUGCAAAUACAGGCGUGCGAUGAGUGAGUCAACGAUUCUACACGGUCCGGAGCCGCCAUCGCCCAGCCGCAUACCGGCUCAUCCCUCCGCAUCCACACUCAUUCCCCGUGUGAUCUCAUUGCGGAUUCAUCCGCCAGCCCGUCACAGCCUGGACUUGUCCCCAAGCACUGGACUCCCGUGUCUCCUCUGCACCCCCCGUGGACAUCAUAAAACCAUCUCAGACUCAGUAUGUUCAAAGGGUGCACAGUUCAGAGACACUAAGUGCACCCACAGCGUUGUGCAACCACCCGUCUCCAGCACGUUUCCAUCUUCCCAAACUGAACUUGGUCCCCACGAUGCACAAAGUCCCCAUCGCCCUCCGCCAGCCCCUCACGGCCACCGGUCUACUCUCGCUCCCCAUGAAUUCGACUCUUGCCUGUGCCACGGAAGCGGGGUCCUGCAGCAUGUCCGUGCGUGUCGCUGGCGCAUUCCACUGAGCCCCACUGAAGCCACGGUGGGUUCACCCGUCCUGUCUCCUUCCUCGUGAGGGCGGAACCGCAUCUCGCUGUGUACAUUUCACGCUUCCUUUCUCCGUCCGUCCGCGGUCAUUUCCACCUUCAGGCUGUUAGGAACAGAGCUGCGACGAACACGUGUGUACAAAUCCCCGUUUGAGUGUCCACUUUCAGUCCUCUGCGGCCUGCACCCGCGGAAGCAGGAUCGCUGGGCCAGACAGUAAUUCUCUGCUUAAUUUUUUGGAGGGACCCCCAUUCCUAACCGUUUGCUUUCUCGGGAAAAAGUUGAGUUAAUGUAAUUCCCACCUUUCCUCAAGUCUCAUCUCUUGGGUGACAAUCCUGUGGCCACCGGCGUCCACGGGGCGUCUGGCCUGAGGACCUCCCUCUGUGUGUGGUCGACUGCAGGCCCGGUUCCCUGGUGGACACUCCAGUGACUUUGAACCCAUCAGCCUCGUCUUCCCCGCUACCUCUCGGUGCCACUAGAUGGCGUGGGAGAGAAGUUCAGGUUUGUUUCCUGGGGAGAAGGCCCUCUUUUGUUCCUCCUGCCAGGGUGGGGGUGGGCAUUGGGCGGGGGUUGCUUUUCCAAGCUCCCUACCUGGGAUCCCACUGCCUUGAACCUUGGCGACAUUUCUGAGUUUCUAACGUCUUUAGUUGGGGAAGCCCAGACGAUCCAUCCUUCUUGAGAGGGGUAAUGGUGGGAAGACAUGGGCACGUCAGAAAAAAAAAAUCAAAUCCCCCCAGGGUGUCAGAAAAUCCUACUCUGCAGGACCUGAACACCUCAUCUGGGCUCCCCUGGCCUCAGUUUCCUUAUCUGUAAAGUCAAAGCGUUGGACUGGCCAGUGGUUCUCAGUUCUGGGAGGGUGUGAAGCCCCGCUGGGGAGAGAACACGGCAAUGAUAGUUGAAUUAGAACUUCCAGUGGGAUGGCAGAGAACCCCUGGGUUAGCCCCCAGCUGGAAGGGGCUCUUACCACCCAAGACCCCAGCUAUGCUCCAAACGUAGAGGAUAGGGGCUUAUCAACUCCCCCUGACCCCGCGGGAAUUUGUCAGAAGACACCAGCUACCCAGGGCCCCCCCAUCCCAAGCUUUGAAUGAGCGGGACAGCGUAUGCCGGCUCGAAGCCCUUUGAAACAGCUCCCCCUCCCUACCCAGCACUGGGGCGCACUUGUGGGCACUCCUGAGAUGCUCACGGAAUGUUUGGUUAAACAGCCUCGUGUGAUGAAGGAAACUUCCAGGAGAUCGUGACCCCAGAGCCUUCAGGAGGCCAACCUGGAAUUAGGACAAUGAAGGGUGACCCCGGACAGGAGGAACUGUGUGGUCUUGUGGGGUUGUGGAGCACAAGGGUCAAGAGAGAGAAUUCCUGAGCUGCUGUACGAUGACGCUUAGUGAGAUUAUUGGAGUCGCCUGGGGCCAGCACCCAUGCACAGAAAGAGCGGCACUUUGGCUGCAUGAAGCUGGUAGUCAUCUGCUUUGUUGGGCUCAGGGGGCAGGGGACGCGCAGGGAGUAUUAGGUCAUAAAUGUCUUUCUUCAGCUUUCUGCUCGUGAAACCACUUUCAUGAGAUUUCUCUGGUGCUUGUCAUUCAGUUCAGUAUGGGCGGUCAGUGAGUUGGACAAGAGUCAUGAGACCCUUAGGAAUGCAGCGAUCGAUCGGGGCGUAUUUGAUCCUUAUCACAGCGCUGCGGGCUCUAGGUCAGCCUUCUGGGCGAAAGAAGCCCCAGCUCUAAAUACAGCCACAUGAGCCAUCAGGGCUUCAGGAUAUGGAUUCAGGAGGGAUGUGAGCCUUCCAUAGCACCAUCUCCCCUGGCGGGGGCAAGGCCCCCCAUCUUACAGCCCAGAGGACCAAGCCCCAGCGGCUGAGGGCAGAGGACCCGGAAGACUUUCCUGGCCCCCUCCGCUCUUGGAAUGACCUCCUCCCUACUCUGCCCGUGCAUUUAUCAGCCCACAUGCUCACCCUUUGUGAAUGAACUUUCUUUCUUUUUAAAAAAUUGUAUUGAAACCAAACUCAUCAUAUUUUAUACAUUGACUAUGUACAGUUUUUAGCAGAUCGAUCAGAUCCCCAGAGAGCCGUGUGAAGAACUCUAUUGCCAUCUCUUGUUUGCUUUUCUUCCUCUUCUCUUGUGGCUUUAUAAGUUUUCCUGCAGUCCCAUUCCUGAGGUGUGCUUUACAUGCAGUAAGCCGCGCCCCUUUAAACAACAGAAUUCGGUUGAGUUCCGCGGUGUUUCGGCUUCUGAGAAUUGCCACGGCAGCGACGAUGCAGACAUUGUCGUCACCCCAGUUCUCCUGGAUCCCCCCCACGUCCCUGUCCUCUCUGCCCCCUCUUCCCCAGGGCCUCUGCCCUCCCCAGACACUAGUUUGCAUUUUGUAGGGUUGCAUACAAAUGGACUCGGGGCAUCAACUCUUUUGUGUCCAGCUUCAGGCAUCAGCCUAAGGAUCUUGAGAUUCCCGUCUUUGUGUGUGUCAGUAAUUAACUUCCUUUUAGUUUCCGCGUACUAUUGUAGGGCACG
Molecule: long non-coding RNA, 4272 nt
Organism: Mustela erminea (ermine)
Lineage: Eukaryota; Metazoa; Chordata; Mammalia; Carnivora; Mustelidae
Exons: 6
Source: RefSeq, a predicted model, not a curated record